RNAcentral lists this ribosomal RNA (741 nucleotides) under Lactiplantibacillus pentosus. Its description in RNAcentral is "bacterial SSU rRNA". It matches the Rfam family "Bacterial small subunit ribosomal RNA", at positions 23 to 747 of the family's 1533-position model. Lineage: Bacteria; Bacillati; Bacillota; Bacilli; Lactobacillales; Lactobacillaceae. The record is from RNAcentral.
CUCAGGACGAACGCUGGCGGCGUGCCUAAUACAUGCAAGUUGAGCGAUGAAGAUUGGUGCUUGCACCAAUUUGAAGAGCAGCGAACGGGUGAGUAACGCGUGGGGAAUCUGCCUUUGAGCGGGGGACAACAUUUGGAAACGAAUGCUAAUACCGCAUAACAACUUUAAACAUAAGUUUUAAGUUUGAAAGAUGCAAUUGCAUCACUCAAAGAUGAUCCCGCGUUGUAUUAGCUAGUUGGUGAGGUAAAGGCUCACCAAGGCGAUGAUACAUAGCCGACCUGAGAGGGUGAUCGGCCACAUUGGGACUGAGACACGGCCCAAACUCCUACGGGAGGCAGCAGUAGGGAAUCUUCGGCAAUGGACGAAAGUCUGACCGAGCAACGCCGCGUGAGUGAAGAAGGUUUUCGGAUCGUAAAACUCUGUUGGUAGAGAAGAACGUUGGUGAGAGUGGAAAGCUCAUCAAGUGACGGUAACUACCCAGAAAGGGACGGCUAACUACGUGCCAGCAGCCGCGGUAAUACGUAGGUCCCGAGCGUUGUCCGGAUUUAUUGGGCGUAAAGCGAGCGCAGGUGGUUUAUUAAGUCUGGUGUAAAAGGCAGUGGCUCAACCAUUGUAUGCAUUGGAAACUGGUAGACUUGAGUGCAGGAGAGGAGAGUGGAAUUCCAUGUGUAGCGGUGAAAUGCGUAGAUAUAUGGAGGAACACCGGUGGCGAAAGCGGCUCUCUGGCCUGUAACUGACACU